Molecule: non-coding RNA, 92 nt
Organism: Leuconostoc citreum KM20
Lineage: Bacteria; Bacillati; Bacillota; Bacilli; Lactobacillales; Lactobacillaceae
Source: Rfam
ACGUGUAAUCUGGGGUGCCUUAUUGGCUGAGAGAUAUACCCAUAUAACCUGAUCUAGUUCAUUCUAGCGUAGGAAGAUUACGAAGCAAUCAA